CCCUUAGAUGUUCUGGGCCGCACGCGUGCUACACUGAGUAAUUCAAUGGGUAAGGGAACGCUAGAGCAUUACCUAAUCUUGAAAUUUGCUCGUGAUGGGGAUCGACGGUUGCAAUUUUCCGUCGUGAACGAGGAAUACCUUGUAGGCGCAUGUCAUCAUCAUGCGCCGAAUACGUCCCUGCCCUUUGUACACACCGCCCGUCGCUCCUACCGAUUGAGUGAUCCGGUGAGGCUCUGGGAUCUGGACGGAAAGAGCGUUUCGCUUGUUCUGUUUGGGAAACUUGGUCGAACCUUAUCAUUUAGAGGAAGGAGAAGUCGUAACA
This 322-nucleotide ribosomal RNA is filed under the name uncultured eukaryote. RNAcentral describes it as "partial 18S ribosomal RNA". It matches the Rfam family "Eukaryotic small subunit ribosomal RNA", at positions 1470 to 1796 of the family's 1831-position model. The record is from RNAcentral.